Molecule: non-coding RNA, 70 nt
Organism: Podarcis lilfordi (Lilford's wall lizard)
Lineage: Eukaryota; Metazoa; Chordata; Lepidosauria; Squamata; Lacertidae
Source: the annotation of a GenBank genome assembly
GGCAAUAGCUCAGUGGAAGAGCUUCCGCUUUGCGUGCAGGAGGUCCUGGGUUCAAUCCUCAGCAGCAUCU